Papaver somniferum (opium poppy) is the source of this 1585-nucleotide long non-coding RNA. RefSeq lists it as uncharacterized. The transcript has 10 exons. Lineage: Eukaryota; Viridiplantae; Streptophyta; Magnoliopsida; Ranunculales; Papaveraceae. The record is from RefSeq and is a predicted model, not a curated record.
AGGGGAUUUGGACUCCCGUCGGAUCGGCAUCCGACUUAGAUCCCUUGUCUUACGUACAGAGCUUGAGGCUACAUAUUUUCAACACCGCGACAUCUUUAAAACAGAUAACGCGUCAGAUUUACAAUUGGUUAGUAAUAUAUAUUACUAACACACGAAAAUGAUAUGUAUAUCACAACAUCUGGGUUGCGUUUUACUUCAACCGGUUCCUAUUGUGAUUCCUGAUGAUGAUGGUGUGGUGGUAGUGAUGAAGUAGAAUAUGAUUCAGUUUGUUAAUAAGAUUUCUCAUUACAUUAUGUUUAGUAAGGUGAUGAAGUAGGAGACUCAGUUUGCGAAUAAAGCUGGUGCUCUUGGUGAUGAAAUCAUUAUUGUUCGUGAUAAGAGCAAGAUUAUUGUUAACUCUUACUACCCUUUAUCACCAGGUCGUUUCUUUUUUAUAAUAGUUUUUAUUUUCUUAUUGAAGUGACUCAUUUUAUUUUUGAUGUUUGUUUCUUAGGUGGUUUAGCUUUGAAGGCAGUUGAGAAAAACACAUCACCUCUGAAAGAAUCAUCCAUGGCUACUUUGGGUUCAUAUUUGAGUGUUUUCUUCUUCCAGCAUAUAAGUGAAUAUCUGAUGGGAGUAGAAUACUACCUUUGAAAUGAAUGAGGUAUCUUUGCCUCCAUGUAGGCCCGACCUGUAAACAAGAAGAUCCCGGAAGUGGACUUUACCAGCAUUACCAAGAAGUACCCUCAUCUACCAGAGUUUCAGGAGUUUCAUUUGGAAGUGUUCGAGAGGGCUAAUCAACAUGCUGAAACUUCAACAGUUGUAUCAUCAACUGAGUCUUCACAUCAGGUUUUAAACUCAGGUCUGCGAAACUAUAGCUGAAGCAAUAGUGAAGAAGUACGGUGUCGUAAGGUUGACUUCUGAAGUUGAAGGACUAGCUGUGCUGAAACAACCCAGAUAAGUACUGCGCUGUGCUCAGGGGUGUGUUGUACUUGAUAGACACGGGGAUCACAUCAAAGGAAAGGGUUACUUGUUGAAGACGAAUUUGAUUAUAUGAAAGUGACAUUUGUAAGGGAUAUCAAAGCUCAACAAAGAAGUUCGAGGUUUGUUGCCAGUAAACAUGUUCCAUCUCCUAAUUUGGCUAUUACACAGUUUUGUUCUGAAUGCAACUUGCUUUUGUUGGUAUGUCAUUGAUAAGAGAUAGGGAUUGAGAAACACAGAUAAUGGACAAGCUCCGCUCGGACUCAGGUUUUAAACUUGGGUUUGCGAAACAUAAAUCAGAAGCAAUAGUGAUCUCCAAUGAAGCAUUGGUAUUUGGUUUUGGAAUCUCCAAUAGGAUCAGACCCCAACAAUAAUGCUUAUGAAGAUCCCAUUUGUCUUCACUGGAACCGCGAAUGAAGCUCCUUCAAUUUUGGCAACUGUUGGAGAUGAUGAGUAUUGGGAUGGAGAUAUUCAGGUAAUAAUGUUGGUUUUAACACUUGUUUAGUGGCUUUUCUUUUAAGAUUUACAUUGGUCAGAACUCAAGAUUUUAAUCCUUUUUAUGUAAUUUGAACCCAAUAAAACCAUGGAAAUUAAAUUGAAUGAUUAUUUGUGUGCGCGUUUAAUU